UCCACGCCGUAAACGAUGUCAACUAGUUGUUGGGUAUAUAAAGAUACUUAGUGACGAAGCUAACGCGAUAAGUUGACCGCCUGGGGAGUACGGCCGCAAGGCUAAAACUCAAAUGAAUUGACGGGGGCCCGCACAAGCGGUGGAGCAUGUGGUUUAAUUCGAUGCAACGCGAAGAACCUUACCAGGUCUUGACAUCCAGAGAAUCCUUUAGAGAUAGAGAGUGCCUUCGGA
This 231-nucleotide ribosomal RNA is filed under the name uncultured bacterium. Its description in RNAcentral is "partial 16S ribosomal RNA". It matches the Rfam family "Bacterial small subunit ribosomal RNA", at positions 794 to 1023 of the family's 1533-position model. The record is from RNAcentral.